Molecule: RNA transcript, 11255 nt
Organism: Cornus florida
Lineage: Eukaryota; Viridiplantae; Streptophyta; Magnoliopsida; Cornales; Cornaceae
Exons: 23
Source: RefSeq, a predicted model, not a curated record
UGCGAAGCAAUGGGGGUUCCUGAAAAUGUGAACUUCCAAAUUGGAGUCUUAUUGAAAGAUGAAGCAUGGUCCCUGUUCGAGAAGAAGGUUGGAGAUUCCAUCAAAGCUGACAUGCGUUCUGUAGCGGAAGCGGUGUGUGAAGAAUGUGCAUGUUUGCCAUUGGUAAUACUUGCAGUUGGAGGAGCACUAAUGAAGAAGAGUAAGAGGGAAUGGAAAGAUGCACUUCAACAAUUGAGAAAUUCCACCGCAAAGAACAUUCCAAGAUGGAGCACAAAAGUCUAUUCACCCAUAGAGUUUAGCUACAACAACCUGGAGCAUGCUGAUGCGAAAUCAAUUUUUUUGCUUUGUUGUUUGUUCGGAGAAGAUGUUGAGAUUUCCAUUGAUAACUUGGUAAGGUAUGGAGUUGGAUUGAGGCUUCUCCAAGGCGUGGAUACAAUGGAAGAAGCAAGGAAUAGAGCACAUGUGUUGGUCACGACGCUCAAGACAUCCUCUUUGUUAUUAGACGGUAGUGAGAAAGACUUGGUGAAAAUGCACGAUGUCACUCGAGAUUUCGCCAUUUGGAUUGCAUCAAAAGAGGAAGAUACCAAGUUUCUAGUGAAAGAUGGUGUCAGGUUUUGGCCAGAUGAGGAUGAAUAUAAACAAUGCAAAGCAAUCUCAUUAAGGUUCAAUAAUGAUUGUGUGCUUCCCAAUGAUUUAGAAUGUUCAGAACUACACACCUUAAUGUUGGAAUUCCACAAUCUUUCAUCAGAAGUUCCAAGUAACUUUUUUAAAGGGAUGGAAAAGCUUGAAGUUUUACAAUUGCGUGACAUGCAGAUUUCGGAACUACCGUCGUCACUUAAAAAUCUUAGGAUGUUAUGUCUAUACAACUGCAAAUUGGUGAAGGUAGCUUUUCUCAAGGAAUUUAAAAAACUUGAGAUACUAUGCAUUAAAGAUUCUGAUCUCAGAGAACUGGCUCCAGAAAUAGGCCAGUUGACUCGCUUGCGGUUGUUGGAUCUGAGGGACUGUGACAAGCUCAUGAUCAUUCCCUCAGGUGUCAUAUCAAGUCUAUCCCAACUUGAGGAAUUGUACAUUCCAAAUGAGUUUGACCAAUGGGAGGUUAAAGACAAUGCAAGUCUUAAUGAACUAAACUCAUUGAACCACAUAAUCAGUUUACAAGUUUUUGAGCCCCUGUUUAAGUCGUUGAACAGAUUUCAAAUAUCCAUUGGGAGCAAGCUUAGUAUUUGGGAGCGACCUUCAUCAGCAACAAGGAUAUUGAAAGUAGUGGGUUUCCCUUUGAAGAAGGAGCUUAACAUUUUGAUGGAGAAAGCUGAAGUACUGUAUUUGGAAGACUUGAGAGAGAAUGUUCCUAAGGGACUAUGCGGAUCUGUUUCAUUUCGUGAAUUAAGUUUGUUAAAAGUUGAAAACUGUAAAUUAAUGAUAUAUCUCUUUUCCUCAGCCGCUGCAAGAAGUCUUUCACAACUCCAAAAAUUAAGUGUAAGAAAUUGUGAAAUCAUGGAGGAAAUAGUCAGAGAUGACCAGGAAGUCAUGGAUGAAGUUAUUGUUUUUGACCAUUUAAAGGAAAUAGAGUUGAAGGAUCUACCCAAUUUCAGAAGUUUCUAUGUCAAUAUGAAGAAGUCGACAACUAGGGACUGCAACACGUCUACCCUUGUGCAAGCUUUGUUUAACGAUAAGGUUGCAUUCCCUGCUUUGGAGGAACUAAAGAUUGAAAAUUUGAAAAGCCUUACAGCGAUAUGGGAAGGCCAAUCCCAAUCACUCAUAGUGAAGGAAGCACAAGUUUCCUUUCAAAGCCUAAGGUCCAUGGACGUAUGGAAUUGUGAUAAAUUGGUGAAUGUGAUUGCCUCCAAUGUGCUCCCAAGCUUACAAAAGCUAGAAAAACUUAAAGUCUCCAAAUGUGAUUCAGUGAAAGAGAUAUUUGCAGUUGAAAGGGGACAAUUAGGAGAAAAAGAUGGAGUGCAUGACGAGAUCAUUGUCUUCCCUCAAUUGAAGUAUUUGGAACUUGAAGAGUUGCCCAGAGUGGAAACCCUCUUCAACCACAAGGUUGCAUUCCCUGCCCCGGAGGAACUAUAUAUUAGAGAAUUAGAAAGCCUUACAGCGAUAUGGGAAGGCCAAUCCCAAUCACUCCUAGUGAAGGAAGCACAAGUUUCCUUUCAAAGCCUAAGGUCCUUGGACGUAUGGGAAUGUCAUAAAUUGGUGAAUGUGAUUGCCUCCAAUGUGCUCCCAAGCUUAAAGAAGCUAGAAAAACUUAAUGUUGGUUCAUGUGCUUCAGUGGAAGAGAUAGUUGCAGUUAAAAUGGGACAAUUAAGAGAAGAAGAUGUAGUGCAUGAUGAGAUCAUUGUCUUCCCUCAAUUGAAGAAUUUGAGACUUGAAGACUUGCCAAACCUCAAAAGUUUCACUCUUGGAUCCAAAGAAUUAGAAGAAACAGUGGAUCAAAUCAUUCCCAGAGUGGAAGCUCUCUUCAACCACAAGGUUGCAUUUCCUGUCUUGGAGGUACUAAAUAUUGGCAGAUUGGAAAGCCUUACAGCGAUAUGGGAAGGCCAAUCCCAAUCACUCAUAGUGAAGGAAGCACAAGUUUCCUUUCAAAGCCUAAGGUCCAUGGACGUAUGGAAUUGUGAUAAAUUGGUGAAUGUGAUUGCCUCCAAUGCAGUUUACAGAUGUGAUUCAGUGGAAGAGAUAGUUGCAGUUGAAAGGGGACAAUUAGGAGAAGAAGAUGUAGUGCAUGAUGAGAUCAUUGUCUUCCCUCAAUUGAAGUAUUUGAAACUUAUAGGCUUGCCAAACCUCACAAGUUUCACUCAUGAAUCCAAAGAAGAAGGAGAAACAAUGGAUCAAAUCAUUCCCAGAGUGGAAGCUCUCUUCAACCACAAGGUUGCAUUCCCUGCUUUGGAGGAACUAAAGAUUGAAAAUUUGAAAAGCCUUACAGCGAUAUGGGAAGGCCAAUCCCAAUCACUCAUAGUGAAGGAAGCACAAGUUUCCUUUCAAAGCCUAAGGUCCAUGGACGUAUGGAAUUGUGAUAAAUUGGUGAAUGUGAUUGCCUCCAAUGCAGUUUACAGAUGUGAUUCAGUGGAAGAGAUAGUUGCAGUUGAAAGGGGACAAUUAGGAGAAGAAGAUGUAGUGCAUGAUGAGAUCAUUGUCUUCCCUCAAUUGAAGUAUUUGAAACUUAUAGGCUUGCCAAACCUCACAAGUUUCACUCAUGAAUCCAAAGAAGAAGGAGAAACAAUGGAUCAAAUCAUUCCCAGAGUGGAAGCUCUCUUCAACCACAAGGUUGCAUUCCCUGCCUUGGAGGAACUAAAGAUUGAAAAUUUGAAAAGCCUUGCAGCAAUAUGGGAAGGCCAAUACCAAUCACUCCUAGUGAAGGAAGCACAAGUUUCCUUUCAAAGCCUAAGGUUCAUGACAGUAUGGGGAUGUGAUAAAUUGGUGAAUGUGAUCGCCUCCAAUGAAGUCUACAGAUGUGAUUCAGUGGAUGAGAUCAUUGUCUUCAACCACAAGGUUUCAUUACCUGCCUUGGAGAAACUGACUAUUGAAAAACUACAAAGCCUUAGAGCAAUAUGGGUUGACCAAUCGCAACCACUAGAGCAAGUGAAGGAGGCUGACGAUUUCUUUCGGUGCCUAACCGACAUGAUUGUCCUUAGAAAUAAGAAACUGGUGAAUGUGAUUCCCUCCAAUAUGCCCCUAAUGUUACAGAACUUAAAACAACUCAAAGUUGAGGAAUGUGAUUCAUUGUUUUCUGAAGUUGAAGUGCUUGGUACUGUUGAAAAAGGGUCUCCAAUAGCUGAACCAACAAUUAAUGUACUUCCUCGGCUGCAAGAAAUGCUUCUGGAGGGUCUACCUAACUUGGUAAUGUAUAUAAGGUUGAACAGAAAGGAACACUUUGCGGGCAGAAUUUGUGCGUAUUCAAACCUAAUAGAUCUUCACCUUUCUAAUCGUGACAAUUUGGAAAAUGUAUUCUCACCAUCUACAGCGAGAUACCUUGUGCACCUUCAAAAAUUAAAAAUAUUUAACUGUGAAAAAAUGGAACAGAUUGUUGCAAUUGAAAGGGGAGAAGUUGGAGAAAAUAAAGUGCAUGAUGAGAUAAUCGUCUUCCCUCAAUUGAAGUACUUGAGACUUGAAAAAUUGCCAAACCUCAAAAGUUUAUGUUGCUGCAGUCGCGGAUCCAAAAAAGGUGAAGAAGAAACAGUGGAGCUAAAUAUUCCUAGAGUAGAAGCCCUCUUCAACCACAAGGUUGCAUUCCCUGCCCUGGAGGAACUAGAGAUUAGACAAUUAGAAAGCCUUACAGCGAUAUGGGAAGGCCAAUCCCAAUCACUCCAAGUGAAGGAAGCACAAAUUUCCUUUCAAAGCCUAAGGUCCAUGAAAGUAUGGGAAUGUCAUAAAUUGGUGAAUGUGAUUGCCUCCAAUGCAGUCUACAGAUGCGAUUCAGUGGAAGAGAUAGUUGUAGUUGAAAGGGGACAAUUAGGAAAAGAAGAUGUAAUGCAUGAUGAGAUCAUUGUCUUCCCUCAAUUGAAGUAUUUGGAACUUAAAGAGUUGCCCAGAGUGGAAACCCUCUUCAACCACAAGGUUGCAUUCCCUGCUUUGGAAGAAUUGAGCAUUAUAGAAUUGGAAAGCCUUACAUCACUAUGGAAUGACCAAUCACAUUCACUCCUAGUGAAUGAAGGAGGAGAUUCCUUCGGGGUCUUAAAGUGCAUAGAGGUCAAAAGAUGUAACAAACUGGUGAAUGUGAUUCCCUCCGAUGUGCUCCCAAGGUUACAAAAUCUAGAAAAACUCGUAGUUGAUGGAUGUGAUUCAUUGUUUUCUGAAGUUGAAGUGCUUGGAACUGUUGAAAAAGGGUCUCGAAUAGCUGAACCAACAAUUAAUGUACUUCCUCGGCUACAAGAAAUGCUUCUGGAGGGUCUACCUAACUUGGUGAUGUAUAUGAGGUUGAACAGAAAGGAACACUUAGCGGGCAGAAUUUGUGCGUAUUCAAACCUAAAAGAUCUUCACCUUUCUAAUCGUGACAAUUUGGAAAAUGUAUUCUCACCAUCCACAGCGAGAUACCUUGUGCACCUUCAAAAAUUAAAAAUAUUUAACUGUGAAAAAAUGGAACAGAUUGUUGCAAUUGAAAGGGGAGAAUUAGGAGAAGUUGAAGAAAAUAAAGUGCAUGAUGAGAUAAUCGUCUUCCCUCAAUUGAAGUACUUGAGACUUGAAAAAUUGCCAAACCUCAAAAGUUUCUGUUGCUGCAGUCGCGGAUCCAAAAAAGGUGAAGAAGAAACAGUGGAGCUGAACAUUCCUAGAGUAGAAGCCCUCUUCAACCACAAGGUUUCAUUACCUGCCUUGGAGGAAUUGACUAUUGAAGACCUAGAAAGCCUUACAGCAAUAUGGGUUGACCAAUCACAACCACUAAAGCAAGUGAAGGAGGCUGAAGAUUCCUUUCGGCGCCUAACCGACAUGAUUGUCCGUAAAUGUGAGAAAUUGGUGAAUGUGAUUCCCUCCUGUAUGCUCCCAAGGUUGCAGAACCUAAAACAACUCCGAGUUGAGAAAUGCGAUUCAUUGUUUUCUGAAGUUGAAGUGCAUGGUAGUGUUGAAAAAGGGUCCCCAACAGUUGAACCAACAAUUGAUGUACUCCCUCGGCUACAAGAAAUGCUUCUCACGGAUCUACCUAACUUGGUGAUGUAUAUGACGUUGAACAGAAAGGAACACUUUGCGGGCGGCAUUUGUGCGUAUUCAAACCUAACAGAUUUGCACCUUUCUAAACGUGACAAUUUGAAAAAUGUAUUCUCACCAUCCACAGCGAGAUACCUUGUGCACCUCAAAAAAUUAGAAGUAUGUCGGUGUAAAAAGAUGGAAGAGAUAGUUGCAAUUGAAAGGAGAGAAUUAGAAGAAGUUGGAAAAGAAGAUCUAGUGCAUGAUGAGAUCAUUGUCUUCUCUCAAUUAAAGCAUUUGGAACUUAAAAACUUGCCAAACUUUAAAAGUUUCUGUUGCUGCACUAGUGGAUCCAAAAAACGUGAAGAAGAAACGGUGGAGCUGAACAUUUCUCAAGUGGAAGCCCUCUUCAACCACAAGGUUGCAUUCCCUGCCCUGGAGGAACUAGAGAUUAUAGAAUUAGAAAGCCUUACAGCGAUAUGGGAAGGCCAAUCCCAAUCACUCCAAGUGAAGGAAGCACAAAUUUCCUUUCAAAGCCUAAGGUCCAUGGAAGUAUGGGAAUGUCAUAAAUUGGUGAAUGUGAUUGCCUCCAAUGUGCUCCCAAGCUUACAAAAGCUAGAAAAACUUAAAGUCUCCGAAUGUGAUUCAGUGAAAGAGAUAUUUGCAGUUGAAAGGGGACAAUUAGGAGAAAAAGAUGGAGUCCAUGACGAGAUCAUUGUCUUCCCUCAAUUGAAGUAUUUGGAACUUGAAGAGUUGCCCAGAGUGGAAACCCUCUUCAACCACAAGGUUGCAUUCCCUGCCCUGGAGGAACUAGAGAUUAUAGAAUUAGAAAGCCUUACAGCGAUAUGGGAAGGCCAAUCCCAAUCACUCCAAGUGAAGGAAGCACAAAUUUCCUUUCAAAGCCUAAGGUCCAUGGAAGUAUGGGAAUGUCAUAAAUUGGUGAAUGUGAUUGCCUCCAAUGUGCUCCCAAGCUUACAAAAGCUAGAAAAACUUAAAGUCUCCGAAUGUGAUUCAGUGAAAGAGAUAUUUGCAGUUGAAAGGGGACAAUUAGGAGAAAAAGAUGGAGUCCAUGACGAGAUCAUUGUCUUCCCUCAAUUGAAGUAUUUGGAACUUGAAGAGUUGCCCAGAGUGGAAACCCUCUUCAACCACAAGGUUGCAUUCCCUGCUUUGGAAGAAUUGGGCAUUAUAGAAUUGAAAAGCCUUACAUCACUAUGGAAUGACCAAUCACAUUCACUCCUAGUGAAUGAAGGAGGAGAUUCCUUCGGGGUCUUAAAGUGCAUAGAGGUCAAAAGAUGUAACAAACUGGUGAAUGUGAUUCCCUCCGAUGUGCUCCCAAGGUUACAAAAUCUUGAAAAACUCUUAGUUGAUGGAUGUGAUUCAGUGAUAUCGGAAGCUAAAGUGCUCACUGUUGGAAAAGGGUCUCCAGCAGCUGGACCAACAAUUGUACUCCCUCAACUAAAAGUAAUGUGUCUAAUGAAUCCACCUUACUCGAUGAUGUAUAUGCUACAGGAUUUGAACAGAAAGGAAUACUCUGGUAGACAUUUUGCCUAUCCAAACCUAAAAGAACUACGUUUUUCUAAAUGUCACAGUUUGAGAAAUGUAUUCUCACCGUUCACAACAAAAUAUCUUGUGCACCUCGAAAAAUUAGAAGUGACUGAUUGUGAGAAGAUGGAAGAGAUAGUUGUAGUUGAAAGGGGACAAUUAUAUAGAGAAGAAGAUGUAGUGUAUGAUGAGAUCAUCGUCUUUCCUCAAUUAAAGCACUUGACCCUUCAACAGUUGCCAAACCUCAACAGUUUUUGCAGCGUUUGUGAAUUCGAGAAAGAAGAAGAAAUUGCGGAGCAGAAUAUUGGCAGAGUGGAAGCCCUCUUUAAUUACAAGGUUUCAUUACCUGCCUUGGAGGAAUUGACUAUUGAAGACCUACAAAGCCUUACAGCAAUAUGGGUUGACCAAUCACAACCACUAGAGCAAGUGAAGGAGGCUGAAGAUUCCUUUGGGCGCCUAACCAACAUGAUUGUCCAUGGAUGUGAGAAAUUGGUGAAUGUGAUUCCCUCCUGUAUGCUCCCAAGGUUGCAGAACCUAAAACAACUCCAAGUUGGGAAAUGCGAUUCCUUGUUUUCUGAAGUUGAAGUGCAUGGUAGUGUUGAAAAAGGGUCCCCAACAGUUGAACCAACAAUUGAUGUACUCCCUGGGCUACAAGAAAUGCUUCUCAGGGAUCUACCUAACUUGGUGAUGUAUAUGACGUUGAACAGAAAGGAACACUUUGCGGGCGGCAUUUGUGCGUAUUCAAACCUAACAGAUUUGCACCUUUCUAAACGUGACAAUUUGAAAAAUGUAUUCUCACCAUCCACAGCGAGAUACCUUGUGCACCUCCAAAAAUUAAAAGUAUGUCGGUGUGAAAAGAUGGAAGAGAUAGUUGCAAUUGAAAGGGGAAAAUUAGAAGAUCUAGUGCAUGAUGAGAUCAUUGUCUUCCCUCAAUUAAAGUAUUUGGAACUUGAAAACUUGCCAAACCUUAAAAGUUUCUGUUGCUGCACUAGUGGAUCCAAAAAACGUGAAGAAGAAACAGUGGAGCUGAACAUUUCUCAAGUGGAAGCCCUCUUCAACCACAAGGUUGCAUUCCCUGCCCUGGAGGAACUAGAGAUUAGAGAAUUAGAAAGCCUUACAGCGAUAUGGGAAGGCCAAUCCCAAUCACUCCUAGUGAAGGAAGCACAAGUUUCCUUUCAAAGCCUAAGGUCCAUGGCAGUAUGGGAAUGUCAUAAAUUGGUGAAUGUGAUUGCCUCCAAUGUGCUCCCAAGCUUGCAGAAGCUAGAAAAACUUAAAGUCUCCGAAUGUGAUUCAGUGGAAGAGAUAGUUGCAGUUGAAAGGGGACAAUUGGAAAAAGAAGAUAUAGUGCAUGAUGAAAUCAUCGUCUUCCCUCAAUUGAAGUAUUUGGAACUUAAUUACUUGAAAAACCUCAAAAGUUUCACUCUUGGAUCCAAAGAAUCUGAAGAAACAGUGGAUCAAAUCAUUCCCAGAGUGGAAGCUCUCUUCAACCACAAGGUUGCAUUCCCUGCCCUGGAGGAACUAGAGAUUAGAGAAUUAGAAAGCCUUACAGCGAUAUGGGAAGGCCAAUCCCAAUCACUCCAAGUGAAGGAAGCACAAAAUUCCUUUCAAAGCCUAAGGUCCAUGAAAGUAUGGAAUUGUGAUAAAUUGGUGAAUGUGAUUGCCUCCAAUGUGCUCCCAAGCUUACAGAAGCUAGAAAAACUUUUUGUCUACAGAUGUUAUUCAGUGGAAGGGAUAGUUGAAGUUGAAAGGGGACAAUUAGGAGAAGAAGAUGUAGUGCAUGAUGAGAUCGUUGUCUUCUCUCAAUUGAAGUAUUUGAAACUUUAUUUCUUGCCAAACCUCACAAGUUUCACUCAUGAAUCCAAAGAAGAAGGAGAAACAGUGGAUCAAAUCAUUCCCAGAGUGGAAGCUCUCUUCAACCACAAGGUUGCAUUCCCUGCCCUGGAGAAACUAAAUAUUAUAAAUUUAGAAAGCCUUACAGCGAUAUGGGAAGGCCAAUCCCAAUCACUCCAAGUGAAGGAAGCACAAAUUUCCUUUCAAAGCCUAAGGUCCAUGCGUGUAUGUGAAUGUCAUAAAUUGGUGAAUGUGAUUGCCUCCAAUGUGCUCCCAAGCUUGCAGAAGCUAGAAAAACUUGAAGUCUCCGAAUGUGAUUCAGUGGAAGAGAUAGUUGCAGUUGAAAGGGGACAAUUGGAAAAAGAAGAUAUAGUGCAUGAUGAAAUCAUCGUCUUCCCUCAAUUGAAGUAUUUGAAACUUAAAGACUUGAAAAACCUCAAAAGUUUCACUCUUGGAUCCAAAGAAUAUGAAGAAACAGUGGAUCAAAUCAUUCCCAGAGUGGAAGCUCUCUUCAACCACAAGGUUGCAUUUCCUGUCUUGGAGGAACUAGAUAUUGGCAGAUUGGAAAGCCUUACAGCGAUAUGGGAAGGCCAAUCCCAAUCACUCAUAGUGAAGGAAGCACAAGUUUCCUUUCAAAGCCUAAGGUCCAUGACAGUAGGGGGAUGUGAGAAAUUGGUGAAUGUGAUUGCCUCCAAUGUGCUCCCAAGCUUACAAAAGCUAGAAAAACUUAAAGUCUCCGAAUGUGAUUCAGUGAAAGAGAUAUUUGCAGUUGAAAGGGGACAAUUAGGAGAAAAAGAUGGAGUGCAUGACGAGAUCACUGUCUUCCCUCAAUUAAAGUAUUUGGAACUUGAAGAGUUGCCCAGAGUAGAAACCCUCUUCAACCACAAGGUUAGUUUCCCAGCUUUGAAGAAAUUGAAAAUUACAAAAUUGCAAAGUCUGGCAGUGAUAUGGGACAACCAAUUAUUCCUAGAUUUGAGAGCACAAGUUUCGCAGCUAAGGUUUGUUAUUGUUCAAGGAUGUGAGAAACUAGUGAAUGUAAUUCCACCCAAUGCAUUCCCAACGGGGCUUAUGGUGUUUCACAGCCUAAAAUAUUUGAUACUUAGUAAAUGCAACAGCCUGAGGUAUGUAUUCUCAUUCUCAAUAGCAAGAGGUCUCAAACAACUCAGAACGCUAUGGGUUGUAGGAUGUAGUGUGAUGGAAGAAAUAGUUAGAAGUGAAGGAGAAGGAGAAGAAGAUGACAUGGAGGAAAUUGUGUUCUCUCAACUACAGGAACUGCGUUUGGAUUAUCUAAAAAACCUCACAUGUUUUUGUGGGACAAAUAAUGCUUUUAAAUUCCCAUCCUUGGAGUGGGUUUAUCUGGGGAAAUGUCCCCAAUUGCAGACAUUCACAACCGGAUGCUUAAGCACACCUAAUAAAUUAACAAUUGAUUAUGAAGUCGGCGAGGGCAAUGAUGUUAUCGACCUUAAUGACUAUGUGCAGCAGUUUGUUCGGAGAGAAAAGGGACUAGCGGUGGAUGAAAGUCCUGGUGAUGGUGAAGGCGAAGACGAUUAUGAUGAUGGAACGGAUGAUGACGAAGGCGAAGACGAUGGCAAUGAUGUUAUCGACCUUAAUGACUAUGUGCAGCAGUUAGUUCGGAGAGAAAAGGGACUAGCGGUGGAUGAAAGUCCUGGUGAUGAUGAAGAUGAUGACGACCUUAAUGACUAUGUGCAGCAGUUUGUUCGGAGAGAAAAGGGACUAGCGGUGGAUGAAAGCGAAGACUAUGACGAAGAUUAUGAUUUCGGUGAUGAUGAUGAUGAUUAUGAUUGUGAUGAUGAUUUGGAUGGUUUCAUGUUGGGGAUGGUGAGGAGGAUGAUGUAUGGGCGACGACGACGACGACGACGAAACAAAUCCUGGUGAAGCAAAAGAGGAUACUUCCUGCUAAAAGCAGUAAAGAAGGUAACGCUUGUGACGUGCUUUUAUAAUGCAAGGUGGGACUAAACUAUUAUAUUCAUCUCUGAAAUAUGAAGAUGGUGAUCCGAUCCGAUGACCGGGUUGUCUCCUACAAUUGCCAAGAACAUUUGUGGGGUUACAGAAUUUGAACAUAUAUAUAUAUGACAUUUCAUUAAUUACUUCCCUUCGUAUAUAGUUAAUUGUGCUAAAUUGUAUUGACUUCAAUUUGCUUACCCUGUUCCUUUUCUGCUUAAGUGUUGCUAGAAACCUAUUUAGCUAGCUAUGGUUGAACUAUUAUAUGCAUGUAUUCAGUUUUAUUGUUUAAUACAUUGGAUUUUCACUCC